Molecule: ribosomal RNA, 447 nt
Filed under: uncultured Pelagibacterales bacterium
Lineage: Bacteria; Pseudomonadati; Pseudomonadota; Alphaproteobacteria; Candidatus Pelagibacterales
Description: bacterial SSU rRNA
Rfam family: Bacterial small subunit ribosomal RNA
Source: RNAcentral
GAGAUGUGGGUAGUCCGCACGAGCGCACCCUACUUUUAGUUGCUACCAUUUAGUUGGGCACUCUAAAAGAACUGCCAGUGAUAAGCUGGAGGAGGGCGGGGAUGACGUCAAGUCCUCAUGGCCCUUACGUGUUGGGCUACACACGUGCUACAAUGGUACUUACAGUGAGAAGCAAAGAUGCGAGUCUAAGCCAAUCCCUAAAAGGUACCUCAGUUCGGAUUGUACUCUGCAACUCGAGUACAUGAAGCUGGAAUUACUAGUAAUCGCGGAUCAGCGCGCCGCGGUGAAUGCGUUCCCGGGUCUUGUACACACCGCCCGUCACACCAUGGAAGUUGGUUACACCUUAAGGCAAAGCAUAAAACCUUUGACUACGGUACGAUCAGCGACUGGGGUGAAGUCGUAACAAGGUAGCCGUAGGGGAACCUGCGGCUGGAUCACCUCCUUUCU